CCUUUCUUGGCAUCUGCGGUUGUGGAGCAUACGGGGGAGAACUGUGAGUAGGCGGGGUUGGUCAUUAUGGGCCGAGAGGGGCACUACCACUACACUGCAUCAUUCGGUGCUUGUUCCUUUUUUCCUUGUCCGGUGCGGCACCACGCUGACGGCUGCCUCUCCGCCCUCACGUCUGUCUCUCAGUCCUUUUCUUCUUCCCACACCCACUUUGUGCGGUCCCUGGUUGUUUGCUGCAGUACUGUGAGUCUGCCUGCAUAGGUGAGCUCGAUUCCACAUUUCCGCCCUGCAGUAGCGUGACGCUCGUGAUCCUCCUCCCUAAAUGCGCAGCAUCAUCCUGGCGCGUGCGCGGAGACGUAUCGCACCGCUGCUUGCCCGGGGGUUAUCCUUCUCAACUCCCUUGUGUGUCGGUCAACGCCAGUGUCGCUGCUCUCACACAGGACGUCGUGCCGACGUCCCGCCUCCCUUGGCCGCGGCGGCAUUGCGUCGGCGCCUUAGCUCCACCAGCGGGCACCCGUCUAUUGGUGGUCCACGCAGUGCCUCGGCUAUGGAUGCCUCUGGCAUCGCUGCCUCGUGGACAGACCUGCUCGCUCAAAGCCCGUCCUCGCCAGGCAGCAGCUCGCGCGUAGCGCUUAGCGAAGUCGCUGCCCUCUGUCUAGCGGUGGAGGCACCAAAGUGCUAUGCCGUGUACCGGCCAAGCAAUUCGGGCAGCGGUGUCCACCGCUACACCUCGCCAGCGCCUGCGCUCGCAACCCCACAACACUUUCUGCAGCUUCUUGCCCGCUUGCGUGAAGCACUCGGCGCGUCUGCGGAAGCCGCGCGCAUUGCUGAGGUACUGGUGGACCUGCUCAACAAACCUCCUCACCCACACGAGCCCGGGCCAUGGGACCUUACUCAGAACGAGGUGCUCACCGUCAAAGCCACUGCUAUCCAGCAUGUAAUGGACAGCAUGCAGGGGGGCAGCGAUGCACUAGCGUGGCUAACGCGCCUCCUCCGGCUGACAGACACAUGUGCGGGAGAGGGAGAGGUAACGGAGUCGGAGGUGCCGCUGUUGUCGACAGCGCUCUCGGAGCGCUACGGCUUGCACGGAGGGUCGCCUAUCCGCCGGGUCCACUGCGGCGACGCUGACGGGGAGUGGCUCCUCACAUGCUCUCCGGUGGUACUCGCGGCGAUUGCAGCUGCGAUGCUACGCAGUACAACGAAGGGGAUGAAAGCGCACGCGCUGGAACUUUUGGAGGCUGCCGCCCUCACGCGCCUUUCGCGGACCUCCCUCUCAUCUGGCAAGGCGGUCGCGGGCUCCUACUACCGCAGUGACAUGCAACGCGGAGCACCAAAGGCGUUGUUUGAUGAAACGGUCGCGGUGCGUUGUGCCGAAGCUGCCGCCGUGCAAGGGGACGCAGAGACUGUGACGCGUCUCAUCUUUCUCCUGUACCGCGCACGUGGUGCGCUGGGAUUCGCCACGUUGGCCGAGCACCGACAGCGACGGCGCAGCGGCCGCGGCAAUGAGGGCACGUGGCGAAGGACAAGCAGUGGUCUUCUACCUCGCACCUCGUCUUGGUUCAGCGCGCGGUGGUGGUGCAGGGACGACGGCGCCAUGGCGAAGAGGCCUGCGUUCGUGGAAGAAGAUGCCGCAGACAUGCGUUUUGAGCUGGCCGUGGUGCGCCUGCUGAAGAGCGCCAUGCAGGCUCUCCUGUACCAUCCCCAGCGCAUGAGCGACUCCGUCGUCUACACGGUGGAAGAGGCGCUCUCGUUGUGGGAUGGAUUGAGUGGUGCCAUCACCUGGCCUGGUAUCGCUGCAAUUGGCGCAGAGCUGCUGCGCUACUUCGCCGACCAGCACGCACGGUUGUCUGUAGCGGCAGACGCAGGUGACGGCUGCGCCGCCUCGGACGAUGUGCACGUCCGGCGGGCGGCGCUGCGAGUGUACGGCCACCUCUGCCGUGCCGCACCGGUGCGUCAGCGCACGGCAGCCCAGCGUGACGAGCUGAACCACUUCACUUCGCUGAUGCUGCGCAUAUUCUCCACCGAGCUUGCUGUGAUCGGGAGUGCUGGUAUGCUAGUCCCAGUGGUCGCGAGCACCACCGCGGCGGAGCGGAUUUUGAGGCUCUUCGCCAACCUCUCAGGGCCUCGGGCACAAGAGGUCGCGCUGCCCUACGCGCUCGCUGCCUCCCUCGUCAUCUUCGCGGCGGCCGCAACGCAGAAAGGCUAUAGCGUCCCGCCGUCUCUCCUUGCCCCCCUCGCCGCGUACUUUUCUGAGACCCAGUCGCUGCACUACUACUGCGUGGCUGCGACAUCGGCAGAGGUGCCGGCACACGUUGCGGUGAGUGGCAGCCUGGUGCUUCUCCACCUGUUGCUUUGGUCAAGCGUGCCGGAGGGUGAGUGGGCACGUGGCGACGGGGAGCUGUGGCCGCUGUUGCAGCGGAUGCAGAAGGUCAAAGAAAACGGUCUAGGUGCAGACACCGUUGCCGCCGCGCCAGCUACCGCAGCUGCGUACCGCGUCACGGCGUGGCUAAGGGUUUCUGGAGAUCAGCAGCGGUCACUUCUAUGGCUUUUGCUGCUCUCCGCUAAGCAGCGCGACACGCCGUGGUGCCGUGCGGUGGUGAACGCAUUUUCCAGCCCCGCCUCCUCCACAGUCGUCAACUACGCCGUCAGCUCUGUCUACGCUCAGCUGCCGCAGGCAGAGCUAAAGAGCGUAGUGGAGCUUCUCUACGCGUGCGGCAACAACGACAACCCGGCACAGGCCAGUCAGACGCUAGAUCGUGUUGUGAGCGCGUCCUUGCAACUCCCAAUUCGUGCCCUCACCUUGGAAACCCUUGAAGCGCAGCUGCAGAGAUUCUCCGCAGGACCCCAAGCCACCUCAGUGCUGGUGUUGGGAGCUGCUUCCAUACGGGCACUCGCCGAACGCUGCGCCACAACUUCAAAGAAAGAUGCUGAUGACGAGUUGACCGUGGAGGUUUUUCUGCGUGUGUUGCAGCCGUUGCUUUUUGGUCCAACAGCGGCGCUUCCUUUGCGCUUUACGGUGGUGGUGCUCACUCCGGCCUCUCUUGUAGAGCUGCAGCGCAUGUACACAGGUGCGGACGACGCCCCGCGGCACGCCUCCGCAUUCGUGCGUGCCCUGCACGACGCCCUCGUGAGCAGGGCGACGCCUAGCGCCUACCAAGUUCGCGCAGCAUCCUCCUGGCCUCUCCUUCCGUCCUUAGCGCUUGCUCUUCGAAAGCAGAAGGAGUUGCAGAGUGUGGACGGGCUGCGAGAGGCUACAGCAGCGGCGCGGCAUUUGGAGCACACGCUCCCAAAGGAGUCGCGACCGCUGGUGUGCCUGUGGGUCGAAAGGGAGGCACUCUUUGACACGCCCCACGCCCUUUCCGCCAAGGCUGAAGUGCUGCGCCACUAUGGCGUGCGUGAAGUCAGCACCCACCGUGCUCAUGUGGAGAAAGCAAAGCGGGACAUCUUCUCGCUCGUGCGCAGCGGCGCGGCAGGCACGGUGCACCCCACUGGUGCGCAGGUGACCGGAGAAGCUGCCCUCAUCGAAGCGAAGGCGGCUCGUCGGACGCGCCACCACUCGCUCCUGAGUGCCGUCGCGGAGAGGAGCAGACGCCAGCGCAGUGCGUAAACGUUUGUGUUCGCUCGUAGUGCCCCGCUAUGCUGGCACCUAUCAGUCCCCGCCGUCCUCUUUUUUGUUGUUCGCUGUUACUGUUGUAGCUGCCUUUGGUUCUCCGCGAAGUGAAUCUGGAGAGCCCUCUGCGACUUUCCCUUUGGCAAGUGUUAAACUUGAUGAACUGCGCCGCCGCCCGCGG
This 3788-nucleotide unclassified non-coding RNA is filed under the name Leishmania donovani. RNAcentral describes it as "gene:LdHU3.36.4000(CDS-product:hypothetical_prote in_conserved)". The record is from RNAcentral. Lineage: Eukaryota; Euglenozoa; Kinetoplastea; Trypanosomatida; Trypanosomatidae.